AAAGAAAUAAGUUGCACAAAGAAAGAUUAAGUUGAACUGCUAUGUUUAAAGUGAAAACUCAACAGGGGGAUUUUUCAAUGAAACAUGUGCAAAGAGUAAGUUUUUUUUUAAAGCGGAUAUGCGACUAUCGAGAAUAUGAAAAAUGUGCAAGGUGACUUUUCAGAAGUCGUUAUGCAAAUUUAUAACUAUAGUUAUUGGAAAAUUGUGCAACUUACAACUCAAAUCACCAACGCACAAGUUGUGUAGAUAUUUAAAAUUGCUGUUCGUGCUGGGCUACUUCUUAGAAUUAAGAGGUUAUAGGUUAAAUUCAAGUUUAGCGUUUGAACAGCCCGAAGCAAGUUUUCAAUCUAAUUAUUUUGAAAUGGAGCGGUAUUUGGGAUUAUCGAUCGUGAGUAACUUCCUGAAAUUAUUGAGGAUCAGAGAGAAUUAGCAGCCUAAUUGAUCAAUGGUGUGAAUCUGAAUUUAUGAGAAGGAAUUAAACUAAGAAAGAUUCAUCAGAAACGCUAUGAAGCCAUUGUGAGGAGGCAUUGGACGUCGGGGCAGACCUAGAAUAGGCUGAAUCAAAUCUAGGAUCUUGCUUUAGAUUGGUAUCGACCGCAAGGCGAUACCAAUGGAAGGUGAUAGAUCAACAAGUGUAGGCUGCUAUCCUUGAUGUCCUAAGCCAGCGACCCGAAUUGAAACAAGCGGUUGAAAAUGAUUGAAUGAAUGAGUGGAAGGAAAGUAGAACGAGACGUUGGUGACCGUUUUUGGAUUCUAGGAUAUUUGGAUAUUGUUUGCCUAGAAUAAUUCGUCUACGAUAGUUCAUUCGUAGCCUCGACCUGGUUACGCGAAACCGUUCUACACUUUUAUUCAUUAACAUAAACCCUUUUUUUUCACCGUCGGUUAUUUAGAGGCUGGGUCGACUCCUCAUCUUUGAAUCAUAGGCUGUUUUUACAGAUGUUUCUAGAAGAGUUGUCCUCAUUCUUGGAAAUCAGAUGACCAGAAUUCUUUAGCCUAUUAAGGUAUAGAUGUUGUCGCUUUGUUUGCUAAUGACACGUACGUCAAUGCUUUCACUUCCCGUAUACCUAGGACCAUUGAAGCCUUGAACAUGGAGUUUGACGUUAUUCAUGAUUAUUUUUUCAAUCGUAAAAUUAAGAUAAAUGCCGGUAAUAUCGACAGGAUAGUUAUCGUGGAAAGGUUAAUCAACAUUAACCGUUAUACGAUAGUCUGGGGAAAGUCAGUUAAAUAUCUUAAGGUCAAUAUUGACCACAAGAUGUCAUUUUCAGGUUACAUAAAGAUCAUUUACACUAAAGCCAGGAAUUCAGUAGGAGCAUUAAUGCAUCUUAUGAAUUCCAACUCUGCCCUUAGCAAAAAGAACAGGCUUCUUCUAUGCAAAGCCAUAUUUCGUCCGAAAAUGAGAUAUCGGUCUAUUAACAAAAGAAAAAUUGGUGCCCCACCUACGUCCGUAGUUUAGAACGUAUUCAAAUCAAGCGCCACUGGAUGGUCCUCAACCUUCCCAGGGUCACGAGAAUAGUAGAUCUAUAUCGGGAUUGUGACAUUCCCAAAUUAAACCAGUUUAACAGAAAACUUAAUGUAAAUUUACUACGAAGCUCACAAAAAUUCACUGAUUAGUCGAAUCAAAAGAGCUUUUUAGAACACCUUAAGAUCGAUAUUCAUUCAAGCAUUAGAUGAGUUAGUUUAGUUAGAUUUAAGUAUAAAAGAUCCAAAGUACCUAGCGUUAUAAACCAUUCGUUAUUGUUAGUUUAGACAAAUGGAGAUAUUUUGAAACUGAAAUUGAAGAUAUAGACAUAGAGGUAUAUUUGAAGUUUCGGAUGACGCAAAUUUCGUAACCUUCGAAUUUUUUUCUAUGUUCCUGAAUGUCACCCAUAACCUUUCAUAGGAAAUGUAAUAUAUAGGACGAGAUACUGAAAUAUAUUGUGAUUUUAUGUCAGUUGCUACGUGAAGACGAAUUUUCAUCUUAAGGCUAUAAUUCUUGAGAGCAACACAUAUGCAAUUGCAACUAAUGUGAAUGAAGUCCUUCACUUGAGAUAUUGAGAUAGAUAGAAUUGUCUCUUAUUUUGGGAUUGUAUGUAGAGAUCCAUCCCGGAUGCUAUACUGGUUUUUAAGGUGACCCUAUAUGGCCUAUAUGGCUCCCAGGAGAAGAAAUAGGAAAGCACUCUGGGACAAAGCGAAGUUCCCAAGCCAAGAGUAUGAUGAGGAGAGGCAGGCGAGUGUUUCCGGGGAGUGCGAUCCCAGGAGACACAGAAGGUUUGGAGUUCAGGACUGACACUGCGGAGUACCCCAAGGAAUUCCUCUUGUUUUCACCAAGCUUUUAAAGUGAUCCAUCUAGUCCAUGGGUGUUUUGAGGAAUUCUUUUAGUGGUAGGCUUAGGAGUUCAUGGGGUCUUCUGUACAGUCGCAGGUCAAUUGGGUCAGGUGGGAUAAAGUGGUACGCAACUUCCUUGUUCUGAGACUUCAAUAUCUUCUCUGAUUUGCUUAGCAUUGGCUUCUCGUUAGCGAUCGUACACCUCAUAGUUACAUAAGGCUCUUGAUAAGUCCUUCCUUUUGUUGUGGAAUUUUGAGGUUUUUUCUCUGACCAUCUGAAUUAGUGAAAAAAAAACUCAAAAUUCUAAAUUAGACAAGAUUCCGAAUUACCCCAUCUUACCCUAGUGAGAACGUCCAAACCUGUAAAAGUUUAAAGGCAAACUAAAGUCCUUCUCAGUGCAACCCUUGUUAUGAAAGGAUGGUGUUUACUUUUAGAACUGCUCAGUUUGUUAAGAACAAGGAUACCAGUCUGAAGAACUCAAGGACUCAAUUAACAACGAAUUCACUAUCAUACAUAAAUCAUAAAUAUUCCACCUAUGGAUUACCUCGUAAUCAUUUCACAUAAACUUUUCAAAAAUCAUGUCAAGCUCAAGUUCCAAGAAGUUGAUUGCACAAAAUGUUACUUUAACUGGCAAAUUGUUGAUUCAACUGGCAAUACAUUGUCUUUCGUAAGAUUUAGCCUGUGCUGCAGAGAGAGAAUGUUUGAGAUAAUCUCAAAGUCGAAAAAUGUAAACAAUCGUCUACAAUUGAAAAAACCUUAUGUGCCUGGGGUAUGGAUUUUGCAAUUGGACAAUUGGUAUAUAGAAAUGGAUUCUGCGUGUGCGAAAAAGAAUACUGGGUGCAAGAAAAGAGGACGUGGGAAAUGUUACGAGAUGGGUGCUAAAUAAAAAUUGAGGAGUGACCGUCAAAAAAAUCACGCCAAUGAAAAUUUUGAAUUUAUUAAAGGUAUUCUUUCCUAGACACCAAUUCUGUUUUGUGGCAGAAGAAAUGCAAGAAAAUUUAAUUAAUAGAUUUUUUGAAAUUGUAUACUUGCACAUUUUGACCUUGCGUAAUUUGCAACAUAACCCAAGACACACGAUUAUAUGAGAGAAAGGAAGUAAAUUGAAAGUCAAGCUUUGUUGGACUUGCAGAGAUACAUGCUGGUAACAUAUAAAAUACCAACAUUACUUCUUCCCCAGCAGCCACCAAUUCACCUACUUGCUGGCGACACGCGGCUUUCUUGAAUGACUUGAAGAAAAAAAACUGUAAAUGGUAAAUGGUACCACGUCCUUGAUUGAGAAAUUGCUCCAUGAGAUUGCUAGACAUUUUAUAUAUAUAUAAAAUCACGAAUUGCCAAUAUAGAGGUAUUAUUGAGUGAAUUGGAAUUGUCUGCAAAGUUGUUGGGAUGUGGCUUUUUUGGUGGGAGAAACAGGUUGAAAUUUUUCUGUUUUGAGAUUCUAUUUCUCUUUUAAAGCUCGACUAUAUCAUUUCUUAAGGUGUUUGAUUUCAUAUAACCGUUAUAUCACACAAUUUUUCGUGUUCAUGCCUCUCGGACUGUCUCGGAUUUGUGAGAAGAAGAUGUAUCUAUGAGAUCAUUGAUUUUCAGUUUUGUUUUUCUCCCAAAAGUUGACAGGUGAAUUAGCAUUUGCAUCAAAUCCGUUUUCUCUCAAAAAAUUUCAUUCAAAAUUCCUUCUGCAAGAUAUACAGAAAAAUGUUCAAGGUAUACAUUACCAAAAGUGAAAAGCCACCCAGGUAUAUAGCCAAACUGGAUUAACCUUGAUUUCUUGCAAGUACAAAAAUUCCUGAGACAAGAGAAACAUUAUUUGUAUCCAAUAGAAAACGUGUCGAAUUUGCUGUUGAAGGAAUUUUCGUCUCUCGAUAUUUGAUUCUAAAUCCGUUGAAUGAUUUGAAACACACGAUGAAAUACUUUUGGCAUGAUAGAUUUACGACUUUGCCGGUCAAUAAUUUAUUGACCACGACAGCUAAACGGAAUGUUGUCAUAAAAUUCAACAAAAAAAAAGAAAA
Molecule: long non-coding RNA, 4307 nt
Organism: Phlebotomus papatasi
Lineage: Eukaryota; Metazoa; Arthropoda; Insecta; Diptera; Psychodidae
Exons: 2
Source: RefSeq, a predicted model, not a curated record